AGGUCUUCGNUUGGUGACCAGCGGAGGGAUCAUUA
This 35-nucleotide ribosomal RNA is filed under the name Fusarium equiseti. RNAcentral describes it as "partial 18S ribosomal RNA". Lineage: Eukaryota; Fungi; Ascomycota; Sordariomycetes; Hypocreales; Nectriaceae. The record is from RNAcentral.